AGUUUGAACCCCCGAAACUAGAUGAGCUACUUCGGAAUAGUCUUAAGAACAAACCCGUCUCUGUUGCAAAAGAGUGGGAUAAUUCCCGAGUAGAGGCAACAAACCUAUCGCACCUAGAGAUAGCUGGUUAUUCAAGAAAAGAAUUUAAGUUCAACCUUAAGUUUCUGUAUUAAACAAAAAACAAAACUUUAGAGCCACUCAAAUAAGGCACAGCUUAUUUGAGACAGGAUACAACCUACAACACAGGGUAAUGCAUAACAAAUAAAUAACAAGUAGGCCCAAAAGCAGCCAUCUUUAAAAAAGCGUCAAAGCUUAAUAUUUAUUCUAUUCUAAUACCAUCCCCCCCUACUAACCCUUCACCUAUAUUGAAUAACUCCAUAAACUUAUGGAAAUUUUUAUGCUAGAACUAGUAACAAGAAAUAGACUUUCUCCUAAAUGUAAGUUUAGGCCGUAACAGACAAACUACCGGCAACUAACGUAAAUGAACACAAUACAGCAACCCUAACAAGAAAAUCCUGUAUACACACACGUUACCCUUACACCAGAACAUUCAAGGAAAGAUUAAAAGA
RNAcentral lists this ribosomal RNA (569 nucleotides) under Mantidactylus zolitschka. Its description in RNAcentral is "partial 16S ribosomal RNA". It matches the Rfam family "Bacterial large subunit ribosomal RNA", at positions 704 to 1687 of the family's 2925-position model. The record is from RNAcentral. Lineage: Eukaryota; Metazoa; Chordata; Amphibia; Anura; Mantellidae.